Oncorhynchus tshawytscha (Chinook salmon) is the source of this 967-nucleotide long non-coding RNA. RefSeq lists it as uncharacterized. The transcript is spliced from 3 exons. The record is from RefSeq and is a predicted model, not a curated record. Lineage: Eukaryota; Metazoa; Chordata; Actinopteri; Salmoniformes; Salmonidae.
UUGUCAUUCAACAGCAUCACCUUCAGUCUAUCCUGGUGGUAUUUGAGUCACAUAUACAUGGCCAGCGCUGUUCAUCCCCCGCCGAAAUGCUUUGACCCGGACAGUUGUUGUUCUGCGCGUUGGCUUGUUUUAGUGGAAGACGCAUCAAGCAAGCAAGGGUUGGCUUUAUUCUGCUGGACAGACACUUGAAUGAUGUUGAACCCCUGCCCGGAUGAAACCUCUCUCCUGAAUGACACAAUUGAUCAGUCACGCUCACCCAUCCUCAGCUACAGUGCUGCCACAUUCCAUCAACAUGGCGGGAAGUAUUCUCCUCACCAAAGAGCUCAACACUGGAAAUUGACACAAUGUUGCAAUUGCAACAUCAACUACGCAAUUACCUAACUAACUACACUAACUACCUUUUUUUAUGUAGCGGUUGUUAUUGCUGUAGCCUAUACAUUUUCAUUUUUUCACACCUGUCACUAAUCCUGAUGUGUCCCAGAAACAUUGAUUUUGUUGUAAAUUUCUAUUUACUUACAUUUCAUUUGAACAUGUUUGUGUUUUUUGAGCAAAUUGUUGUUAUUAUAAUGUAUCAUUUUAUAUCUGGACGUGGUCCAAUUUGUACAACUCAGAGCAGGUUAUUGUCUCGUUGUCAAAAUGUGGUAUAAGCACAUUCAUAAUUUUUUUUUUUACAAUACCUCAUAUUAAUGGCACUUUACUUAAGGUGUCUGUGCGCACUGUGCAUAUGACAUGGUUUUGACACCUAGGAUUUCAAUCAAUGUAAUAAUGUGGUUGUGACAUAGAGGUUGGUAAAUUAAAUAACACCCUGUUAUAAAAUAUUGUAUGUAGACUUAUGUAGAAUGUAAUAACAUAUGACAAAAGUUGUCAUGCAGACUAUGUAAUAGCAGUCGUUAAUAACGGUUGAUAUUAGAGCAUAUGAUAACAGGACGAACAGUCAUCUAUAAUGCAAAUGUUAACUAGUUUUAUA